GUAAGGCAGGGGAAGGAGAAGAAUGGUGGACCAGAGAGGAGGAAGCAUGGGGUGGAGGAGAAUGGAAAAUGAAUCCUGGGAGAAGUUCUCUUCUAGUGGCCCAGGAGGAGGUUCAGCGUCAAGCGACUGAGGAGUCCUGCAGCACCGUAAAGACUAACAGAUUUCUUUGGAGAGAAGCUUUCGUGGGCAAAAACACAACUGGGGCACCGUAAAGGCUUCAGCCUUGUCGACACUAAAAGGCAGAUCGCUGCUGCCACGAUGGAUCUUCCAGAGUUUGAUUUAGAUGAGACGAUGAACAGCUGCCUACAGCUCCCGCCUGCUUUGCUCCUUCCUGACUCACCUGGUUCAGUUCCCACCUUUGGACCCGGCGGUUCCUCAUUUAAACCUCUGCUGUGAUCUUGCGCAGGAUUCACCAACGUAAUCUAGACACGAGAUAGGGAUUCCAUGAAUCGAGCAGACCUGGUCCCAUCUCUGGCCACCAAUGAGCACUUCUACAAAUGUCCUAUGAAGUCUCAUCUUGCUGUUUUCAAGAGUUGGCUGCCAUCUUCAUGGAGUGCAACUUCCUUGGCUAUUUAUUAUUGCUUGUGUUGCAGUAGUACUGGAAAUCAAGGGUGAGGGCCCCAUGGUGCAAGCCACUGAACAAACUCAUGGUGAAAAGCAUGCCCUGCCCUGACAAGCUUGCAAAGUAUGGUGGCCAUGAACAAUGCUAGAUCAUGAGCUGGGAUGUGGUGCAGCACGUAAUCUUCCUCCAAAUUCACAAGUGUUCAAACCUGGAACAGCUGGUUGGCCACAAACAACAGCUCAGGAGCCACACUUUGGAAAGCUGAGGGGGCAUUUCUGGAUCUGAUGUUCUGGUUGAAGACCAUCUCUAGUCAACACAUGGUGGUUUCACCCUUCCUACUUUCUCCCUCCCCUCGGUCUGGUCUUGUCUAAUUAUCCAUUUAGUUUCAAAAUGCCAGAGAUGAGCUUGCAAAUCUGGUCUAAUUUAGGGAUAAGCUCUGCUGUUUUGUGGUGCCCAAAGCCAUAAACUGCUGCUGAGAUUAAUAGCUCAUAUUUAGCCAAAACCGCCCAAAGCUGUUUCAUGCCAGUGUGCUACAAUGCUGCUGAGGUGAUAGCAGUUUAUACAACAAAUUGAUACGUCAAUAAAAAACUUUUCUUUCCCUUGUUAGGGUUGGAAAAUGCUACUUGCAUUGGUUCUUGGAGCUUUCCGAUGAUCUUGGAUCUGAUAUCCUUGGCUGAAUCCCAGAGAAAGUCCAAAAUGGUCACUUUAUUUUUUGCUGAGAAAUUUGAAUUUUGUGUGUGCACGUGCACGUUUAUGGUCGUUUGCUGUGAGAAUUUGUUGGUUAUGAUGAACAAUUGAAAUAUAUAACUAAAAAAAAAUAGUUUCCAUUGAAAAAAUGGCAAGUUCUGAAGGAAAUGAA
Molecule: non-coding RNA, 1421 nt
Organism: Pelodiscus sinensis (Chinese soft-shelled turtle)
Lineage: Eukaryota; Metazoa; Chordata; Testudines; Trionychidae
Source: RefSeq, a predicted model, not a curated record